CUGACUCGACUGACGUUGGCGGCAGGCCUCAUACAUGCAAGUCGAACGAGAAAAGCCCUUCGGGGCUUAGUAGAGUGGCGGACGGGUGAGUAACGCGUAGGAAUCUACCCGGCAGUGGGGGAUAGCUCGGGGAAACUCGAGCUAAUACCGCAUGCGAUCGCGGCCUUAGGGCGGCGAUGAAAGCGGGGGAUCUCGCCGUGGCGACUUCGGUCGCAGCGGAAGGACCUCGCGCUGGCGGAGGAGCCUGCGUUGGAUUAGCUUGUUGGUGGGGUAACGGCCCACCAAGGCGACGAUCCAUAGCUGGUCUGAGAGGACGACCAGCCACACUGGGACUGAGACACGGCCCAGACGACUACGGUCGGCAGCAGUAGGGAAUCUUGCACAAUGGGCGAAAGCCUGAUGCAGCCAUGCCGCGUGUGUGAAGAAGGCCUUAGGGUUGUAAAGCACUUUCAGUGGCGAAGAAAAAGUCGGCGUUAAUAGCGCCGACCCUUGACGUUAACCACAGAAGAAGCACCGGCCAACUCCGUGCCAGCAGCCGCGGUAAUACGGAGGGUGCGAACGUUAAUCGGAAUUACUGGGCGUAAAGUGCGCGUAGGCGGCUUGUUAAGUGGGAUGUGAAAGCCCCGGGCUCAACCUGGGAACUGCAUUUCAAACUGGCAAGCUAGAGUUCAGUAGAGGGAGGUGGAAUUUCCUGUGUAGCGGUGAAAUGCGUAGAUAUAGGAAGGAACACCAGUGGCGAAGGCGGCCUCCUGGACUGAAACUGACGCUCAAACGCGAAAGCGUGGGGAGCAAACAGGAUUAGAUACCCUGGUAGUCCACGCCGUAAACGAUGAGAACUAGCCGUUUGGCCCCUUGAGGGCUUAGUGGCGCAGCUAACGCGAUAAGUUCUCCGCCUGGGGAGUACGGCCGCAAGGUUAAAACUCAAAUGAAUUGACGGGGGCCCGCACAAGCGGUGGAGCAUGUUGUUUAAUUCGAGGCAACGCGAAAAACCUUACCACCACUUGACAUCCACGGAACUUUCCAGAGAUGGAUAGGUGCCUUCGGGAACCGUGUGACAGGUGCUGCAUGGCUGUCGUCAGCUCGUGUCGUGAGAUGUUGGGUUAAGUCCCGUAACGAGCGCAACCCUUAUCCUUAUUUGCCAGCGGGUCAUGCCGGGAACUCUAAGGAGACUGCCGGUGACAAACCGGAGGAAGGCGGGGACGAGGUCAAGUCAUCAUGGCCCUUAUCGUGGUGGGCUACAAACGUGCUACAAUGGACGGCACAAAGGGCUGCAAUCCCGCGAGGGGGAGCGAAUCCCAAAAAUCCGUUCGUAGUCCGGAUAGGAGUCUGCAACUCGACUCCUUGAAGUCGGAAUCGCUAGUAAUCGCGAAUCAGAAUGUCGCGGUGAAUACGUUCCCGGGCCUUGUACACACCGCCCGUCAAGUCAUGGGAGUGGGUUGCACCAGAAGUAGCUAGUCUAACCUCUCACGAGGGGGACGGUUACCACGGUGUGGUCCAUGACUGA
RNAcentral lists this ribosomal RNA (1504 nucleotides) under uncultured bacterium. RNAcentral describes it as "bacterial SSU rRNA". It matches the Rfam family "Bacterial small subunit ribosomal RNA". The record is from RNAcentral.